Molecule: ribosomal RNA, 253 nt
Filed under: uncultured bacterium
Lineage: Bacteria
Description: partial 16S ribosomal RNA
Rfam family: Bacterial small subunit ribosomal RNA
Source: RNAcentral
UACGUAGGGGGCAAGCGUUAUCCAGAUUUACUGGGCGUAAAGCGCGUGUAGGCGGCUGGUUAGGCGUGAUGUGAAAUCCCUCGGCUCAACCGAGGACGUGCAUACGAAACUGCGGAGCUUGAGUGCUGAAGAGGAUCGCGGAAUUCCCGGUGUAGUGGUGAAAUGCGUAGAGAUCGGGAGGAACACCUGUGGCGAAGGCGGCCGACUGGGCCGACCCUGACGCUGAGGCGCGAAGGCGUGGGGAGCGAACGGG